UGACUCAAUCGGCGAGGAUACCCGCUGAACUUAAGCAUAUCAAUAAGCGGAGGA
Molecule: ribosomal RNA, 54 nt
Filed under: Hyalorbilia sp. 288
Lineage: Eukaryota; Fungi; Ascomycota; Orbiliomycetes; Orbiliales; Orbiliaceae
Description: partial 28S large subunit ribosomal RNA
Source: RNAcentral